Molecule: ribosomal RNA, 398 nt
Filed under: Haptophyta sp.
Lineage: Eukaryota; Haptophyta
Description: SSU rRNA
Rfam family: Eukaryotic small subunit ribosomal RNA
Source: RNAcentral
UGACACAGGGAGGUAGUGACAAGAAAUAACAAUGCAGGGCUAUUUUAGUCUUGCAAUUGGAAUGAGUACAAUUUACAUCUCUUCACGAGGAUCAAUUGGAGGGCAAGUCUGGUGCCAGCAGCCGCGGUAAUUCCAGCUCCAAUAGCGUAUAUUAAAGUUGUUGCAGUUAAAACGCUCGUAGUCGGAUUUCGGGGCGGGAGCGCCGGUCUGCCGAUGGGUAUGCACUGGCGGUCGCGUCCUUCCUUCCGGAGGCUGGCUCUUCUCUUAACUGAGCGGAGUCGGAAGUCGGAUCGUUUACUUUGAAAAAAUCAGAGUGUUUCAAGCAGGCAGCUCGCUCUUGCAUGGAUUAGCAUGGGAUAAUGAAAUAGGACUUUGGUGCUAUUUUGUUGGUUUCGACC